Salvia miltiorrhiza (redroot sage) is the source of this 643-nucleotide long non-coding RNA. RefSeq lists it as uncharacterized. Lineage: Eukaryota; Viridiplantae; Streptophyta; Magnoliopsida; Lamiales; Lamiaceae. The record is from RefSeq and is a predicted model, not a curated record. The transcript is spliced from 3 exons.
AAGCAUUCCAUUUUACUUAAUCCAGUUAAAUUUAAGUCUUGCAGCCUACGAAUUUCACUCUAUUUAAACCUCAAUCCAUCAUCUUCAAACUUGGCAUGAACUGACUUUUUCUCAUCUAUUUCCUUACACCAUAUAAUCCACUUCCAUUUCUCACUGCCGACUUCAACGGUGCGGCGCGACUAGGACGUUACUUUUAUUUGAUUUACUCAAGUUAGCAUACAAGUUGAAGUUCAAGUUCAAGUUCAAAAUUCAGUUAUAUCGCUAGGGGCCCGUUCAAUGGGUCCAGGACUUCACCGUCCUUGGUAUGCCACAAUGCGAUUUCAUGUUACAGUUAUGGUUGCAACCAGUCGCCAGGGGCCGGCUCAAUCGGUCCAGGACGGAAAGGUCCUUGGUAUGCCACAGUGCGACUUUCAGUUACGAAUGUAUUGAUCAUAUGUGAUUCUCAUUUUAUUAACGUGGACAAUGAUUGCAUGUUCCCACACUGAGUGUACCCUGUAUGCUCAUCCCAUAUUCAACAUUUUCAGGUUUUUAAAGGCCGGAGGCGCGUGGAAGGUCGAAUGGCGAAUCGAAUAUUUUGAAUUUAGUUUUACUUAAAAAUGUUAUGUUUAGUAAAAUAUUUUAAAAUAAGAUAUUUAUUUCUUUA